This 204-nucleotide ribosomal RNA is filed under the name uncultured bacterium. RNAcentral's name for it is "partial 16S ribosomal RNA". It matches the Rfam family "Bacterial small subunit ribosomal RNA", at positions 524 to 727 of the family's 1533-position model. The record is from RNAcentral.
UACGUAGGGUGCAAGCGUUAUCCGGAAUUAUUGGGCGUAAAGAGCUCGUAGGCGGUUUGUCGCGUCUGCUGUGAAAACCUAAGGCUCAACCUUGGGCUUGCAGUGGGUACGGGCAGACUAGAGUGCGGUAGGGGAGAUCGGAAUUCCUGGUGUAGCGGUGAAAUGCGCAGAUAUCAGGAGGAACACCGGUGGCGAAGGCGGAUC